RNAcentral lists this ribosomal RNA (253 nucleotides) under uncultured bacterium. RNAcentral describes it as "partial 16S ribosomal RNA". It matches the Rfam family "Bacterial small subunit ribosomal RNA", at positions 524 to 776 of the family's 1533-position model. The record is from RNAcentral.
UACGUAGGUGACAAGCGUUGUCCGGAUUUACUGGGCGUAAAGAGCGCGCAGGCGGUCGUACAAGUCGCGUGUGAAAGCCCCCGGCUCAACUGGGGAGGGUCACGCGAUACUGUUCGACUCGAAGGCAGGAGAGGGAAGCAGAAUUCCCGGUGUAGUGGUGAAAUGCGUAGAUAUCGGGAGGAAUACCAGUGGCGAAGGCGGCUUCCUGGCCUGUUCUUGACGCUGAGGCGCGAAAGCGUGGGGAGCAAACAGG